This is a long non-coding RNA of Eutrema salsugineum, 639 nucleotides long. RefSeq lists it as uncharacterized. NCBI's taxonomy places the organism in Eukaryota, Viridiplantae, Streptophyta, Magnoliopsida, Brassicales, Brassicaceae. The record is from RefSeq and is a predicted model, not a curated record. The transcript is spliced from 2 exons.
UCUCGAACAGAUUCGCCGUAAAAACUUCCAGGAGAAGUCGUUCAUCUUUUGCAGUUUCUCGAUUACUUCUGAUAAUGGCGUUGAAUACAGGACCCAUUUCUGUCUCAAGGAUCAUAGCUUCUUCCGAAUCAUCUGUCUCCAGUCCUACUUCCUGUACACCUAAAACUGAUGGAAGCUCUAAAAGGAAAAGGUGUGAGGAUGAUUCACAAUCAUCAAGCUCUUAUGCAGAGGAAACAAUGUCUGGCGAAGAUGAUCAAGCUACCAACAGGAAAGGAGCUCUGUCUGUGUUACAGACAAUUCGGUUGAUUAAAGAGACGGACUUGGCUAUGAAAAAAAACUGUCGAAGAUGAAUAUACUUGCCAGUCUCAUUUCCAAAAAAAAACCACUAUCUGACUAUGAAGAAGCUCUAAAGACGAAGCUUAUCACAGACAUGUUGGCUAAUUGGUGAUCUCAUCUCUGUUAUUUGAAUCUUUGAAGUUGUGUUUUAGGUGUCCUGUUUGUGUUUCAGCUUAAGUUGUUGUUUGUUUUAUUUUAAUUGUUUGUGAUUUAGCUUUGUAUGUUUCAUGUUAUGUUUUAAUUUAAUGAAACGGAUUGGUCUGUAUAAACAUGCCCGAUGAAAAAAACCAGACAUCUUUGGGA